Molecule: transfer RNA, 363 nt
Filed under: Microcystis sp. BG39
Lineage: Bacteria; Bacillati; Cyanobacteriota; Cyanophyceae; Chroococcales; Microcystaceae
Also listed under: 1 other name
Description: 16S-23S ribosomal RNA intergenic spacer
Rfam family: tRNA (bases 135-208)
Source: RNAcentral
AAGGGAGACCUAAUUCAGGUAGUAGACGAAAAAAAAGUAGUCGCUACCAAGAAUCAAUCCCAAAAGGUCGGAGCGAGGCAAAAUUGGCUUUCAAACUAGGUUCUGGGUUCACACAAGACCUGAAUCAGGAACAAGGGCUAUUAGCUCAGGUGGUUAGAGCGCACCCCUGAUAAGGGUGAGGUCCCUGGUUCGAGUCCAGGAUGGCCCACCUGUACAGGUGGCAAAAAGAAAGAAAAGAAGCGAGGAAUCAGCACCUUAUCUUACUUACAUAGUAAGAGAGAAUGCUGGCUCUGAGUUCAGAGUCCAGAGGAACCUUGAAAACUGCAUAGAGCUAGGUGAAAAAGCCAAAAAAGAAGACCGCAA